GCGGAGCUAAACUAUAAUUACACAUUUUUCUAUUUCAUUUUCAACAUGUGUGGGCAAACACAGAAAGAUGAAAAUAUAUCCACAGUUUUAGAUAAAUGUGUGACUAAUUAUGUCCCAUUAAUUGCUUAAUUCUGGGUUUACCAACAACAGAUGGAAGUGGGUUUGGUGGUGGGGGGCGUCGAAGGCAAGUAACACCCACAGCCCCAUCAGAAUAUUACUUGUCCCAAACUGAGGCUAGUAACUAAUUGCAAGCCUGUUUGA
This 261-nucleotide long non-coding RNA is filed under the name Bos taurus (domestic cattle). RNAcentral's name for it is "long non-coding RNA NONBTAT005554". The record is from RNAcentral. Lineage: Eukaryota; Metazoa; Chordata; Mammalia; Artiodactyla; Bovidae.